GAUUUUGACAACACCACCAUUUUUAAGUCAUCCUCAGGUCUACAAAAAAAUAGCCGACAACCUGAAAGCCUUUGCUUAGUAGGAAUGUUGUAUGAUGAUCUCAAGAUCCCAAUAAAACUUCCAUAGCCAUAGAUGCAUCAUGCUUGCUUAUAACGCUAAAAAAUUACUUUGUACUGGUCAAAGAGAAACGAGGGGGAAGAAGGCAUAACCUAGUUGAUUCUUAAAAUUCUACAUUUCUUGUGUUAUACAACAUAAGCCUGAGGCAACAUUCUCUAAGUUACAUGUUUAAAGCUAAAAUACUAAACAAAACCCUCAACCACCUAAUUUACACUAAAUGAACCAACCGAACGGCCUUGAUGCCAUGGUUUUCAACCCUGAAACACUAACAG
Molecule: long non-coding RNA, 389 nt
Filed under: Phoenix dactylifera (date palm)
Lineage: Eukaryota; Viridiplantae; Streptophyta; Magnoliopsida; Arecales; Arecaceae
Description: long non-coding RNA (PDAC_LNC015624)
Source: RNAcentral